GUCAACGCCGUAAACGAUGCUAACUCGUUUUGGGGUUUCGGCUUCAGAGACUAAGCGAAAGUGAUAAGUUAGCCACCUGGGGAGUACGUUCGCAAGAAUGAAACUCAAAGGAAUUGACGGGGCCCGCACAAGCGGUGGAUUAUGUGGUUUAAUUCGAUGAUACGCGAGGAACCUUACCAAGACUUAAAUGGGAAAUGACAGAUUUAGAAAUAGAUCCUUCUUCGGACAUUUUUCAAGGUGCUGCAUGGUUGUCGU
This 255-nucleotide ribosomal RNA is filed under the name uncultured bacterium. RNAcentral describes it as "partial 16S ribosomal RNA". It matches the Rfam family "Bacterial small subunit ribosomal RNA", at positions 793 to 1055 of the family's 1533-position model. The record is from RNAcentral.